This is an unclassified non-coding RNA of Pongo abelii (Sumatran orangutan), 293 nucleotides long. It matches the Rfam family "Metazoan signal recognition particle RNA". Rfam says of the family: The signal recognition particle (SRP) is a universally conserved ribonucleoprotein. The record is from Ensembl. Lineage: Eukaryota; Metazoa; Chordata; Mammalia; Primates; Hominidae.
GCAUAGCGCAGUGGUAUGUGUCUGUAAUCCUAACUACUUGGGAGGCUGAGGCAGGAGGAUCACCCAGGAGUUCUGGGCUGUAGUGCACAAUACCGAUCAAGUGUCCACACUAAGUUUGGCAUCGAUAUGAUAAUUGACGUUCCAGGAGCAGGGAACUACCAGGUUGCUUCAGGAAGGGUGAACCAGGUUGGAAACUGAGCACAUCAAAAUUCCUGUGCUGAUCAGUGGUGGGAUUGUGCCUGUGAAUAGCUACUGCAUUGCAGCCUGGGCAUUAUAGCAAGACUCUGUUUAUU